RNAcentral lists this ribosomal RNA (591 nucleotides) under Clostridioides difficile. RNAcentral describes it as "bacterial LSU rRNA". It matches the Rfam family "Bacterial large subunit ribosomal RNA", at positions 1 to 596 of the family's 2925-position model. The record is from RNAcentral. Lineage: Bacteria; Bacillati; Bacillota; Clostridia; Peptostreptococcales; Peptostreptococcaceae.
UGGUCAAGUUAUUAAGGGUGCAGGGCGGAUGCCUUGGCACUAGGAGCCGAUGAAGGACGUGAUAAGCUGCGAUAAGCUUCGGGGAGUUGCACGUAAACUUUGAUCCGAAGAUUUCCGAAUGAGGAAACUCACUUAGAGUAAUGUCUAAGUAUCAUUAAGUGAAUACAUAGCUUAAUGAGGGGAACUCAGGGAACUGAAACAUCUAAGUACCUGAAGGAAGAGAAAGAAAUUCGAUUCCGUAAGUAGCGGCGAGCGAACGCGGAUUAGCCCAAACCAAUAAAGUUUUCUUUAUUGGGGUUGCGGACAUAUCAUAACGAAGAGGUAUCGUAAUUGAAGAGGUUUGGAAAGACCCACCACAGAAGGUAAUAGUCCUGUAUGUUAAACGAGAAGACUUCAGAUAUGAUCCAGAGUACCACGGGACACGUGAAACCCUGUGGGAAGCAGGAGGGACCACCCUCCAAGGCUAAAUACUACCUAGUGACCGAUAGCGUAUAGUACCGUGAGGGAAAGGUGAAAAGAACCCCGGGAGGGGAGUGAAAUAGAACCUGAAACCCUGCACUUACAAGCUGUGGAAGCACAUUUCUUGUGUGA